RNAcentral lists this ribosomal RNA (551 nucleotides) under uncultured Sporomusa sp. Its description in RNAcentral is "bacterial SSU rRNA". It matches the Rfam family "Bacterial small subunit ribosomal RNA", at positions 355 to 896 of the family's 1533-position model. Lineage: Bacteria; Bacillati; Bacillota; Negativicutes; Selenomonadales; Sporomusaceae. The record is from RNAcentral.
UGGGGAAUCUUCCGCAAUGGACGAAAGUCUGACGGAGCAACGCCGCGUGAGUGAAGAAGGCCUUCGGGUCGUAAAGCUCUGUCGUUUGGGACGAACGUGGAUUGAGUGAAUAAUUCAGUCUAAUGACGGUACCAAAGGAGGAAGCCACGGCUAACUACGUGCCAGCAGCCGCGGUAAUACGUAGGUGGCAAGCGUUGUCCGGAAUUAUUGGGCGUAAAGGGCGUGUAGGUGGAUUCUUAAGUCGUGAGUCUAAGUGCGGAGCUCAACUCCGUAUAGGCGCAGGAAACUGGGAAUCUUGAGUGCAGGAGAGGAAAGUGGAAUUCCCAGUGUAGCGGUGAAAUGCGUAGAUAUUGGGAGGAACACCAGUGGCGAAGGCGACUUUCUGGACUGUGUCUGACACUGAGGCGCGAAAGCUAGGGGAGCGAACGGGAUUAGAUACCCCGGUAGUCCUAGCCGUAAACGAUGGGUACUAGGUGUAGAGGGUAUCGACCCCUUCUGUGCCGGAGUUAACGCAAUAAGUACCCCGCCUGGGGAGUACGGCCGCAAGGUUG